GUUGAACGCUGGCGGAAUGCUUUACACAUGCAAGUCGAACGGCAGCACGGACUUCGGUCUGGUGGCGAGUGGCGAACGGGUGAGUAAUGUAUCGGAACGUGCCCAGUCGUGGGGGAUAACGUAGUGAAAAUUACGCUAAUACCGCAUACGAUCUAUGGAUGAAAGCGGGGGAUCGCAAGACCUCGCGCGAUUGGAGCGGCCGAUAUCAGAUUAGGUAGUUGGUGGGGUAAAGGCCCACCAAGCCAACGAUCUGUAGCUGGUCUGAGAGGACGACCAGCCACCGUGAAACUGAGACACGGUCCAGACUCCUCCGGGAGGCAGCAGUGGGGAAUUUUGGACAAUGGGCGAAAGCCUGAUCCAGCCAUUCCGCGUGCAGGAUGAAGGCCCUCGGGUUGUAAACUGUUUUUGUACAGAACGAAAAGGUUUCUACUAAUACUAGGGGCUCAUGACGGUACUGUAAGAAUAAGCACCGGCUAACUACGUGCCAGCCGCCGCCGUAA
Molecule: ribosomal RNA, 500 nt
Filed under: uncultured bacterium
Lineage: Bacteria
Description: partial 16S ribosomal RNA
Rfam family: Bacterial small subunit ribosomal RNA
Source: RNAcentral